Molecule: long non-coding RNA, 909 nt
Organism: Corapipo altera (White-ruffed manakin)
Lineage: Eukaryota; Metazoa; Chordata; Aves; Passeriformes; Pipridae
Exons: 6
Source: RefSeq, a predicted model, not a curated record
UUAACAGGAAAACAAAAGCAGAUCAGAAAUACCAGGCGUUCCUGACUCUCCACGAGCAUCAACUCCCUGCUCCUGUUACCACUUAUUGCUUGUCCAUCCUUGCAGUCAAGAAAAUAUAUUGCAGGGCACUGCCUUGUUGGCAGAGCCUUGGAACUGAAGCUGAGUCUCCCUGCUGCAUUUUAAGGUCUCCAGACUGUUGUAGCUGUCCCCAGAGGCUGGAGAGCAGCCAGCUGGCUGGAGCAGCUGCUGGCCAUGCAGGAGGUCUCACACACUGCAGUGCUGGGACCCUGGCAGGGGGAGACCUCACUAGCUGCUGAAAAAUCAGGAGAGUCUUAGAGCCAAGUGCUAUGUGCUCAGCUGAAGAUGGAUGUGGCAAUCAGAGGUAAAAUGCUGCUCCAGUGAAACACAGGAUGCUCUCGGGUGGCGGACAAGGCUUUGUGCUGCCCUCUGGAGAUGCUCUUCACAGGGACAGAGGCAGGGAGAGCCUCAGGGUGUGUCCAAAAGCAAUGACUUCUCCAGGAUUUGGAUAUUCAGCCUCACUGUGUUGCUGUUUCUGAAUGGCCAGAGCCCCGUGGUAGUGCCUGUGUCUUUCUGGAUAUGGCCAUGUGUGAUGUGCUCCAGACUUGGGAUAAAGGAGGAAGGACCACAGCCAAGCCUUGGUUUCCCAGGCAGGUUCCUGAUGGCCACGAAUUAAGCAGGAGCUCCACUGCUCUCGAGGGUGAAGCCCAGGAAUGGCUGUGGUCUAUAAACCACCGAGGGUUUAGAUAAGGAAGAUGUCAGCCUGACCUUCCUACACGGAAGUGGCAGGAGUUACCUGCAGCCAUGGAGCUUAUGAAACUAAAAAAGAUGGGAAAGAGAAAAAAAGAAGACCAUGGGUAGGAAUGGAGAUGGACAAAAAAGGGAGAAAAC